UGGGGAAUAUUGCACAAUGGGCGCAAGCCUGAUGCAGCGAUGCCGCGUGGAGGAAGAAGGUUUUCGGAUUGUAAACUCCUGUCUUAAGGGACGAUAAUGACGGUACCUUAGGAGGAAGCUCCGGCUAACUACGUGCCAGCAGCCGCGGUAAUACGUAGGGAGCGAGCGUUGUCCGGAAUUACUGGGUGUAAAGGGAGCGUAGGCGGGAUUGCAAGUCAGAUGUGAAAUGUAUGGGCUUAACCCAUAAACUGCAUUUGAAACUGUAGUUCUUGAGUGAAGUAGAGGUAAGCGGAAUUCCUAGUGUAGCGGUGAAAUGCGUAGAUAUUAGGAGGAACAUCGGU
RNAcentral lists this ribosomal RNA (341 nucleotides) under uncultured Ruminococcus sp. RNAcentral describes it as "bacterial SSU rRNA". It matches the Rfam family "Bacterial small subunit ribosomal RNA", at positions 355 to 713 of the family's 1533-position model. The record is from RNAcentral. Lineage: Bacteria; Bacillati; Bacillota; Clostridia; Eubacteriales; Oscillospiraceae.